CAGACUCCAGUCCAGGCUCCAGACUCCAGACCAGGCUCCAGACCAGACUCCAGACCAGACUCCAGACCAGGCUCCAGACCAGACUCCAGACCAGACUCCAGACCAGGCUACAGACACCAGACCAGACUCCAGACUAGGCUCCAGACCAGGCUCCAGACCAGACUCCAGACCAGACUCCAGACCAGGCUCCAGACUCCAGACCAGGCUCCAGACCAGACUCCAGACCAGGCUCCAGACCAGGCUCCAGACCAGACUCCAGACCAGACUCCAGACCAGGCUCCAGACUCCAGACCAGGCUCCAGACCAGACUCCAGACCAGGCUCCAGACCAGACUCCAGACCAGACUCCAGACUCCAGACUCCAGACCAGACUCCAGACUCCAGACCAGACUCCAGACCAGACUCCAGACUCCAGAGUCACGUCAAGCUCUGUUACAGAGGACCGGUGUUGUCACCCAGAUUACCUGGGACUGAUACAUAGAGACACA
Molecule: long non-coding RNA, 487 nt
Filed under: Salmo salar (Atlantic salmon)
Lineage: Eukaryota; Metazoa; Chordata; Actinopteri; Salmoniformes; Salmonidae
Description: lncRNA (ENSSSAG00000109168.1)
Source: RNAcentral